This 515-nucleotide ribosomal RNA is filed under the name uncultured bacterium. RNAcentral describes it as "partial 16S ribosomal RNA". It matches the Rfam family "Bacterial small subunit ribosomal RNA", at positions 28 to 523 of the family's 1533-position model. The record is from RNAcentral.
GAUGAACGCUGGCGGCGUGCCUAAUACAUGCAAGUCGAGCGAAUGGAUUAAGAGCUUGCUCUUAUGAAGUUAGCGGCGGACGGGUGAGUAACACGUGGGUAACCUGCCCAUAAGACUGGGAUAACUCCGGGAAACCGGGGCUAAUACCGGAUAACAUUUUGAACCGCAUGGUUCGAAAUUGAAAGGCGGCUUCGGCUGUCACUUAUGGAUGGACCCGCGUCGCAUUAGCUAGUUGGUGAGGUAACGGCUCACCAAGGCAACGAUGCGUAGCCGACAUGGGAGGGGGAUCGGCCACACUGGGACUGAGACACGGCCCAGACUCCUACGGGAGGCAGCAGUAGGGAAUCUUCCGCAAUGGACGAAAGUCUGACGGAGCAACGCCGCGUGAGUGAUGAAGGCUUUCGGGUCGUAAAACUCUGUUGUUAGGGAAGAACAAGUGCUAGUUGAAUAAGCUGACACCUUGACGGUACCUAACCAGAAAGCCACGGCUAACUACGUGCCAGCCGCCGCCGUAA